This 864-nucleotide ribosomal RNA is filed under the name Hyperiidae sp. 3 AT-2018. RNAcentral's name for it is "eukaryotic LSU rRNA". It matches the Rfam family "Eukaryotic large subunit ribosomal RNA", at positions 807 to 1438 of the family's 3401-position model. Lineage: Eukaryota; Metazoa; Arthropoda; Malacostraca; Amphipoda; Hyperiidae. The record is from RNAcentral.
AGCUAUGACCCGAAGAUAGUGAACUAUGCUUGGCGAAGACGAAGCCCCAGGAAACUGUGGUGGAAGUCUGUAGCCGUUUUGACGUGCAAAUCAAUGGUGUCAGCUGAGCAUAGGGGCGAAAGACCAAUCGAACUAUCUAGUAGCUGGUUCCAUUCGAAGUUUCUCUCAGGAUAGCUUGCGUGACAUUAACGCUAUGAGUCUGGACUCUUCGGUACACGAAAGCGUGCUGGUAGUCCGUCCCACUUUGUCUGCAGUUGUUGAGAGUUGACGUAGCCAAGAACUUUGUCAUCUCACUCUCUAGUCGCCAGGGUAGCGUAUCAUUUGACCGUGAGCAGUUACGUCUGGUAAAGAGAAUGAGUAGAGUUAGCUCGUUGCUUUCUAUAGCAACAGCAGCGGGGCGUCCUACGCCUCGCACUAUUAUCAAACUUUAAAUGGGCGAGGUACCCGGUAUUUUCUUAAUUGCUUGAUACCGGGGCGAAACACGUCUUGGCUUUACCGUCGAGGCGAAGGUGAAUGCGUGCGCGCAAAGUGGGUCCUUUCUGGUAAGCAGAACUGAUAAUGAGGGAUGAACCUAACGCAUGUGCUAAGGGGCCAAAGAGACAGCUAUUUCUCGAAACCAUUGGAAAGGUGUUGCUUGCUGAAGACAGCAGGACGGUGGUCAUGGAAGUCGAUAUCCGCUAAGGAGUGUGUAACUACUCAUCCUGCCGAAGCGAGUAACCCUGAAAAUGGAUGGCUCUAUAGCUCUCUCCCGAUGCACGGCCGUCAGUAGCACUUGAGUCACCUCGUGUCUCUACGCUCUGACGAGUAGAAUGGUUGUGCUGCAUUGCGUUGACGGCUAUCGCGUGAGCGUGGUCUGAGCGUGCA